UGUUGGGUUAAUAGUUAUUGGGUUUGUUGCCUCUAAAGAAUGCAUCCACCUAACCUUGGACAUCCUAGUCAACUGUUUUUAACAUGUUGUUAAUAUUAUUAAGUGCAUGAAAAUAUGAAAAGUUGAAAUAUGUUGUGCUAUUGCAGAUUAUGCAGUGAUAUAUAUAUAGUACAUGAAAUGGACAUUAGAUGACUCAAGCUGGCCUAGUUAGCCAGGCUUAUCUUCAGUGUCUUGGUUUGCCAAUAUCCUGACUCAUAUGAUAACAAUUUCUAUUCUGGCAAGGCAGGCUUGUCUGGCUCAUAUGAACAGGGCCUAAGAUGAUGCAUCUUAACAUCAUAUACUAGGCAUACGAAUAUCAUACUGGCAGAUAAUUGACUGAAAGCCUUUUUUCAUUAUUGUGUAUUUCUACCAUUUAGUAUUAGCACUUGUUUCUGACUUUCUGUUUAUAGUGUGAUGUAUAUAUUAAUUAAAUAAUAUGAAAUUGUAUGAAAUGUAUAUAAUGAAUGAUUAGGGAUCACCGG
This 521-nucleotide long non-coding RNA is filed under the name Paramuricea clavata. Lineage: Eukaryota; Metazoa; Cnidaria; Anthozoa; Malacalcyonacea; Plexauridae. The record is from RNAcentral.